This 250-nucleotide ribosomal RNA is filed under the name uncultured Prevotella sp. RNAcentral's name for it is "partial 16S ribosomal RNA". It matches the Rfam family "Bacterial small subunit ribosomal RNA", at positions 524 to 773 of the family's 1533-position model. Lineage: Bacteria; Pseudomonadati; Bacteroidota; Bacteroidia; Bacteroidales; Prevotellaceae. The record is from RNAcentral.
UACGGAAGGUCCCGGCGUUAUCCGGAUUUAUUGGGUUUAAAGGGAGCGUAGGCCGUGGAUUAAGCGUGUUGUGAAAUGUAGACGCUCAACGUCUGACUUGCAGCGCGAACUGGUUCACUUGAGUGUGCGCAACGCAGGCGGAAUUCGUGGUGUAGCGGUGAAAUGCUUAGAUAUCACGAAGAACUCCGAUUGCGAAGGCAGCUUGCGGGAGCACAACUGACGCUGAAGCUCGAAAGUGCGGGUAUCAAAC